UCUCCAUGAUCCUAAACCCUCCCACCCCCACCUCCCAGUUCCAUUCCCAAGAAGAAGGGGAGAAAGGGCAUUGGCAACCCCCGGAAGACCUGGGCUCUUUUUGUCCUUCUAGCAAGGCUGGUCUGCUUUAUGGGCUGCCCAGAUCCCAUUGGCCUGUCCCGGGACUCUCCCUUGAUCCCAUCCCCCACCUGAUUUUGGUGGCUGGAGCUCAGGCAUUUCCCCUUCGGCCUCCAAAGGCUCAGGCCCACCUAUGGCUCAGGACUAGUCCUGGCUCAGUGCAAGGGGUGGGAACAAGCUGAAGGACCCAUGUCUGGGAACCGCCCCUGCCUACGCCUUGGCCCUGAACUUCCUGUUGGAGCUACUGGACCUGUGCCACCAGGAAGAAGGCAGUGGGAUCAGCCUCUGGCAGCCCAGGAGUCCCUGACUGAUGCCCAGGGCUGCCUCUCCAUGGUCCUAGAGCCCUGGCUUGUGUGCUGAGCACCGACUGAGAAUGAAGAUGCAGGGUCCUGCCUUGGGCCUCAGACACAGGAGGGAGGUGGAUGCAGAACAGUCCUCUGAGGUGGUGGUAGCAUGGCUCAUUUUUUCAGACGAGAAAGAAAACUGAGUCUAAGGGACGAAGUCAAGUACACGGUUAAUACAAGGAAAGCAAGCAGCCCGGAGCCAGCACAUCCUAGGGAUUCCAUGGGUGUUAGUUUUGUUUUCUGCCUGUCUCUUCUCUCUUCCUCCAGAGGAUCAAAGAGGCCUGAUCCCAUAACACAAAAGCGCAGGAGCUUCCACAGAGAGCCAUCACAUUCCCAGGAAGAAUCACUGAGGUGUGGGGCACAGAAUGAGUUUAGGGACCCUGCAGGCCUGCGUUCAAGUCAUGCCCCUCCGUGCCACCUUGUCAUCUCUGGCUAUGAACCUCGUGGUGCAGGAUGGCCCAGCAAGGCUGUUGACUUUGCCUCCAAAAUCUCUGGAAUCUCUACACUUCUCUUCACUGGCCACGCUUGUCCCAUCUGGAGUAAGCACCGGCCUCCCCUGUUGCUCUCGCUGCUCCUGUCCCCUGUAGGACACUCUCCACCUGGCAGCCAGAGAGAGCUCGUCUUAAAGAGAAAACCAGAUCUCCCCAUUUCCCUUCCAAAACCAGUGAUAUUCGGGUCAAUGGUGAACGUUCAGGGAGAAAAACCAAGAUUGGUGGCAUUUGUCAAUUUCUGUCAAUCCUCCUGCCAUGGCUGAUUUCAAGCUACUGGCAAUUAAACCACCUGCUUGCAACAUGCCUGAAGACUUAACCGUGGUUCUUAUGAGCUGGUGUGAGCUGGCUGCAGCACAUCACUGCUCUAAAAAAUGACAGAUGAAAUUCACACCCUGGCUGAUGUGGCUCCAAAUGCUCUGGCUCCCCGCUUGCCCAUUCCUCUCACAGUGGCUUUUCUGUUCUGCUUCCCGGUCGCAGGGCCUUUGAACCUGUGGUUCCCUCGGCCUGGAGCACGAGUCUCCAAGCUCUUCACAGUACUCUCUCCCUCUGGCCUUCCAGAUCCUAGCUCAGAACCCACCUCUUCAGAGUGGCCUUCCCUCACCAGCUUACCCUUGAUGCCCUCACCCCGUGUUGCUCUAUUUUAGCACUCCUUACUGCAGAUUUUUUCCCUCCCCACUGGAAUGUGAUCUCCAUGAGGACAAGGUCUGGGACCAAAUUGACAUCUAGACCUCCCGAUGUCUCAGUGUCUAGAAGAAUAGUGCUGGACACACAGCAGGUGCUCAAUAGAUGUAUGCAUACAAAUGGAGCUUUGGAGACGCACAGCUUUGGGUCCAAGUCACGACUCUCGUACCAACCAUCUGUGUAACCAUCAUGAAUCAUUCAGUCCCUCUGAGCCUCUGUUUCCUCAUCUGUAAGUGGGGGACAACAGUGCCUAUGUGAUGGGGCUGUGAGGACCUAAUGAUGACAUAGGUAAGGCACUCAGUACAGUGUCUGUCAUACCAGGACCUCAGUAAAUGAGAAUGGCCUCUUCACUUGAAUACAUUCAGUGAUGGGAAGCUCAUCCCCUCCCAAGGUAGCCUCUUCAUCCACUUCUGGGUCCCUGUGGCCACUAAAACACCUGCCCUUUCCUGUGUGGAAUCCAAGUUAGUCUCUUCCAGUGUCCCCUCCCUCAGUCCUGGUUCAACAACUUCCCACAUGGAAAGUCUCUUGCUAUUAAAACCUCUUUCUUAAUGUUGGCCUGAAGUUGACAGAGUCGUUUCAGCAUGAAAGGAGCACUAAGGAUAGAUCAGACAUUUCUCUGCUUUCAUCAGGCAUGAGCUGUCUGGCCUUGGGCGAGUCCCUUAUCCUCACUGAGCCUCAGUUUCUUCCUCCAUGAAAUGGGAUUAGCAAUAAUACUUAUCUCCUGGGGUUGUUGUGGAGAUGAAAUUAGCUGGUAUACAUGAGGCACUCAGCAUCUAGCACAAAGAACGUGCUCGAAAGACAUCACUGCCAUCAUGCCUGGUGCAGCUCCACCCUCAGAUCUGGCAUCUGUGGCCUUUUUCUGCCCCAAAGGCCAGGCCUCUCCUGAAUGCUCUCCAGCCAAGCUGGAGAAAGGGCCUGCCCUGGCUCACCCACCCCAACCUGCACUCCCAUCUGUCAGAACUGCCCCCUCACGGUCCACAAGGGGGUGACUCAGAGCUUCCCCAAAUCUCCCAUGGGACUACCUGACCCUGGGCAGUCAUUUCAUCCACUGAGCUUGGAAGGAGAGGUCCCCAGGCCCUGGAAAACAAGCUGCCCUGAGGAGGGAACUGAGAGUGGCUGGGUCCACUCCGGGCUGGGGUGGCUUCUGCCAGCUCCCUGGGUGGCCUGGACCAGCCCUCUUUCUUAUCAUUUUUAUGGUUUCCUGAUGUUCUUAAAAAUGCUGAUGGUGGUAGAGAACGCGGCCAAGGAGACUAGUUAAGAGCCGAAAUGAGGAAGGGGGAAGACCAGGAGAGCGGUAUUCCAAACACUGAGAAAGAAGCAGACCCAAGAGAGUCUAGGGAAGAAGCAGAUCGAAGAUGGUGCCAGGAUUUCUGAGUCCCUGGGGCUGCAAUGCGGUGAGCAGUCACACCUGUGAUCCUGUCCCCUUUCAUGGCAAUGGGGAUUUUGCCGAUGUUGUUUACCAAUCAACUGACCUUGAAAUGGGAAGAUUACCCUUGGGUCUAACUGAUUACACAAGCCCUUUCAGAGCAGAGCGUUUUCUCUGUGGCUGGUAGAAGAGGAAGUCUGAGAGAUUGGAUGGGUGAGAGGGAUUCAGUGGGAACAGAGAACAGAGGUCACGUUGCUGACAUGGCAGGGGUCAUGGGGCAAAGACUGGAGCCAAGGACAGGUCCCCAGCGGCAGUCAGCAAGGAAACAGGGACCUCAGGCCUGUGGCUGCAGGGAACUGAACGCUGCCAGCCACCUGAGUAAGUGAAUGUAGAGCCUUCCCCGGGGCCUCCGGAUAACAGGCUAGACCUUGACUUCGGCCUAAUGGGACCCAAAGAAGAGAAGCCAGUGUCGCCCUCCCAGCACCCACAGCACAUCGGGGCUGGUUCAGGAAAGACCCUCCAAGACCUAUGAGACCCACUGAGAAUUUGGGUUUUGAUCUAGGGGGCCCUAGGGACCCAGGUGGGCGUAAGAAACAAGGUCAAUGUGAGUUUCAAGGCUAUUAUUUUACCUCUUUUAAUUCUAAGUAUCCCAAAGCCAGGAGAAUAAUUGCAUCUGGAUGAAAUCCUGACCACUUCCUGGGAAGAGUGUAGAGGAGAAAGGCCACCCACGUGCCCCACUGAGCAUGCCAGGGCCACUGAUGGCUCCUGCGUGUAUAGGAGCACUACACUCUGAGCAGCGUCUGCCCUAGGGAGAGGCAUGGGACUGGCCAGCUGAGGCAAGUGGUGCGCUCUGGCCUCAACGGGCUUCCCAGUGAUGGAGGUCACGGUGCAUCACAGAGCAGCCUGCAAUUUUCACAGUCUGUGCGUAUCCUGGGUCCUGGGCUGCAAUGCCUCUGACCUGGGAGCUGGAUAUCGGGGCCUCAGCCAGUGUCGAGGGGAUGGCUGGCCCUUUAGAGGAUAGUCUACCUGACUCCCUAGGGUCUGCAGCAGCUGUCAAGCCUCUCAGGAACUCUGGCAGAAGGAUGGGGCCUGAAUCUACAUAAGGUAGAGGCUAUUUACCCUUGUGCUCAUUCAGACUCUCCUGCCCUCUCUCACCAUCUCACCCAUGGACCCCAAACAUUGCAGUUUACCCAAUCUUUUUGUAUCAAGAUCUCAUGGAGCUGCAGGCAUGUGGGGUCCCACACUCAGAAGUGCUUGCUUUAAGGCUCUGCUAUUGCUGUCUCCCAUUCCCUUUCCCAUCCCCUUCUCCCAUGCCCUCCUCCCAUCCCCUCCUCCCAUCCCCUCUUCCCAUCCCCUCCUCCCACCCCCUCCUCCCAUCCCCUCUCCCACACCCUUUUUCUACUCCCUCCUCCCACCCCUCUCCUAUUCCCUCUCCCCUCCCCUCCUCCCAGUUCCUCUCCCACCCCCUCCUCCCAUCCCUUCCUCUCAUCCCCUCUGCCAUCC
Callithrix jacchus (white-tufted-ear marmoset) is the source of this 4502-nucleotide long non-coding RNA. The record is from Ensembl. NCBI's taxonomy places the organism in Eukaryota, Metazoa, Chordata, Mammalia, Primates, Cebidae.